Molecule: long non-coding RNA, 310 nt
Organism: Canis lupus familiaris (dog)
Lineage: Eukaryota; Metazoa; Chordata; Mammalia; Carnivora; Canidae
Exons: 3
Source: RefSeq, a predicted model, not a curated record
GCUGGGAGGAGCGAGCGCGGGGCAGAGCCUCCUACCGACCUUACCCCCUGCCGUUGGGAGCUCCUGGGAUUCAGCUUCAGCUCUGAGCCCCCGGUGGCAGUGGUUUGUUGGCAGUUAGGGAUAGGGUUAAAACUUGGCCCUAUGCCCUUGCCUGCAAGGGACGUGCAUCCCCCUCCCGGUCCCCAACUGAGGGUCAGACCAGAAGACAAUGGCCCCUCUGAAAUUGUUCAUCUUGAUAAUCUACCUGACCAUUGCUGCAGUCACACAGAGAGAGAGAGAGGCAGAGACACAGGCAGAGGGAGAAGCAGGC